CAUCUCAUUGCUGACUAUGGUUCAUGUUUGCGGCUUCAUUCACUCAUUCACUCCUUUAUGUGAUACCUAUUGAGCCCUCCCUGUGUGCCAGGCCCAGUGCAGGACACUGGGAUACAGAAAACCUCAAUCUACCCCAAUCCUGCUGCUGCUCCCGCUCCCUCCUCCGCGCCACUCCUACUGAAAUCCAUCAGUCCCGUGGUCCAGGCCAGGCUCACGGUGCCUUCCAAUAUGACAACUACCAAGUCAUAAAAAUGGCUGUGGGGUCAGGUGUUCCUUCCCAGCAAAGAUUUUCGAGCACCUGUUCCAGACCCUGAUG
This 316-nucleotide long non-coding RNA is filed under the name Equus caballus (horse). RNAcentral's name for it is "lncRNA (ENSECAG00000059931.1)". Lineage: Eukaryota; Metazoa; Chordata; Mammalia; Perissodactyla; Equidae. The record is from RNAcentral.